AUGAAUAGUGAUUGGAAAGGAGUGGAGGACAAGAUGGAAAGGAAACUAGGAGCCUGGCAAGGAAGAAUGAUGUCUUGUGGUCCUAAAUUAAUUUUGCUGAAAUCCUGUUUGAGUAGUAUACCUUACUUUAUGAUGUCUAUGUUUCCUAUUCCUAAAGAUACUCUGCGUAGAGUAGAAUAUUUUAUGAAAAGACUUCUAUGGCAGGAUAGUGAUGAAUCUGACAAGUACAAUUUAGUGAAGUCGGAAAAGGUUUGCCAACCUAUUCAUCGGGGUAGGGGGUCUGGGCUAGCUGUAAUGUAUAGGUGUCUUUUGAGUAAAUGGUUAUGGAAAAUAGAAAAUGAUGAAGCUUUGUGGCAAGAUAUGAUUAGAAGUAAAUAUUGUAAUGAAGAGUCCUAG
RNAcentral lists this ribosomal RNA (396 nucleotides) under Triticum aestivum (bread wheat). RNAcentral describes it as "partial small subunit ribosomal RNA". Lineage: Eukaryota; Viridiplantae; Streptophyta; Magnoliopsida; Poales; Poaceae. The record is from RNAcentral.